RNAcentral lists this non-coding RNA (29 nucleotides) under Mus musculus (house mouse). Lineage: Eukaryota; Metazoa; Chordata; Mammalia; Rodentia; Muridae. The record is from RNAcentral.
UGCAAGCAAUUAGACUUUUUAUACCCUUA